UUAAAAUAUUUUACUAGAUUGUAUUUAUGGUUAACAGUAUCUUGCACUACAAUUUAUAUUUAGAUAAUCAUUCAUUUUAAAAUUAUUUAUUGAGCACCUACUAUGUGUUAGGUAUUAGGUACAGAGCAAUGAAUACAGCAAGCACAGUUCCUCACCUCGUGGACCUGACACUGUAGUGUGAGAGAUAAUAAGCAAAUGAUAUAAGGCCAUGCAGUAGUUAAAUGCUAUGAAGAAACAUAAAAUCUGGUACAGGGACAGAGAGUAGGGAGGGAGCUCUUGUUAUAAAGGGUGGCCAGGAAAGACCAAGUUGUGUAGCAGAGGCCUGAAGGAAGCCAGGGACCAAGCCAUAUGAAUUUUCUCAGAUAGGUGUAUUCUAGUUAUAGAGAACAGCAACUGGAACGGUCCUGAGAAGGGAACAUUCCUGGAACAUUCAAGAACUAGCCAAGAGAUCAGCAAGUCUAUAGUAAAAAGAAACAUAGUAGAUAGUCAUCUAGUGUUUUCUUCUCUUCCUUCCUAUUAUCUCUCAUACCAUGUCAUGUUACUUUUCUAAAGGAUCUCAAUGGGGAAGAGAACAUCAUUGUCUUUAAGAUUCAAUUUUUUGUGUAUUGAAAGUCUUCAUGGUCAUUCUUUUGAGAUCAUGACCUACUACAACGUCCCCAGGCCUGCAUCCUCCACAGGCUCCAUGAGCAGAAAAGCAGACGAAUAGAAGAGCAGAGGAACAGAAGAAUAGCAGUGUGGCCGAGCAGCGUGGUAGAGAAAGAGGGAAGAGAAGCAGCAUCUGAAUGUUGAGAGGAGUUUGGCUGGGGACAGUCGGAGAGGAGAUUGGCCGCAGGACGACCCAACUCCAGGGGAGGAACAUCUUCCUACUCCAUUCGCUUCCCCACUCCCCAGCCAUUCCACUGAGAGCCACCUCCAUCUGGCAAUAAAAUCUCUUGCAUUCACUAUCCUUCAAUUUGCCUGUGUGACCUGAUUCUUCCUGGAUGCUGGACAAGAACCCAGCAUCCAGGUACCAAGAGGGCACUGGGCUGGAUAACACUUGAGCUGUCUGUGGACGGCAGAGCUAAAAGAGCACUGUAACAUGCCCACUGGGGCUUUGGGAGUUGCAGGCACCCACCCUGGAUGCUACUACCAUGGGGCUGGAGCCCAAAAGUGUUUGCCCCGCCUCCUGCACCUGCCCGUCUGCAUGCUCCCCCUCCAGUAAGGGGUUUGAGUGCACAGAGGCUGAACAGAUGAGCCACACCCCUGUCACACAUCCUGUGAAGGGGGUUAGGAAACUCUCCCAUUUCAUCUUGACCAUCUUUGAGGGACUAUUGAUGCUUUUGGUAUCAGCAGCCACAGAAUUCAUCAGACACAGCACAAAAGAGCAGGAGAAGAGAUAAUGGCAGAUGCCAGAAGGUUGUCCAGCUGGUUACUACCUCUCCUCUUCACCUGAUUAUACCUGAUUACUGCUGACUCGAUGGGCAGGGAGAGUCGCUGACUCCUGACAGAAAGACUCUGUCACCCCUUGCCAUUUAUUUUAGAUCCUGUGAAUCCUACUGUCAAUGUUGUGACACCUGCAAUGCCUGGGAUGAAGCUGCCCAUGUGGUGAGAUGCAGCCUGUGGAAGCCUCUUUUCAGUGGAGUGAGAGCCAAGCCCCCUUGGCUUUUCAUAGACAAUUGGUGAACGGGACAAGGAGACACUGUCCUUGGAUGUCUGAAAAAAAAAGAAAAAGGUUGCAAAACAUGUUGCCAAUAAGAAUGUUGUAGAUGAAAGGCAGGAUGAAGGAAAGUGGUCUUAAUUUAAAUUCUCUAUUUUACUAAACCUACUCUUUAACAAAUAUGUUUAUGUGAGGCAUCAGAAGCAAAUGUAUUUUGGCUUUUAAGAGAAUUAAAAUUGUUUCCCCUAUUUUUUUAUUUGUUUGCUUUGGUGGCUUUGUGACCAAAAAAAUUGUUUUAAUCCAAAUAGCCACAAUAAAUAAAUAAGCAAAUGAAUAAAAUUCCCAGGUCAUUUGAGAGAAAAGAUUAACUGAAAAGGUAAAGCAUCUCCCCCUUUUUAGUUUCAGUUAAUUAUAGUGUCAGGAUGACUUUUUAACUUACCUGGCAAUCUGGAACCUCAUAGAGUCACUUGCGUUUUCAAAAUUUCCAUGUGAAAACAUGAUUGUGCCAAGUACUCCCUAUUAACUUUUAGACAUCAUCUAUAAAAUCACUACAGGAAAAUAUGGAAAUAUCUGAGAGAUACACAGUGGAUCGCCUCAGAAUAAAUCGUUCCCCAAAUCAUUUUAUGACUGCCUGAGUCGGGACUCAUGGGUCAGAGUAGAGUCAUAGUUAAGGUUUGCAACUGGCUUAGUAGCAAGAGGGGAUAAACAAACUAUCCAGGCUGUUGAACUGUCCAGUUUCGCUACAACUGUAUUUACUUGUUGGGAUCAACUGUUUUCUUUCCUAUUAAGGUAUUAGUAGCCACUGAUAAUGGAAGCCAGGGCCCGCUAGAAAUAGACCAGAGGAAAUUUCCUGACUCACUUGCAUAACAACAGUUCAUCAGCACUGAAGAUAUAUGAAGUGUGACUGCAGAGUAAUGGGAGUGAUUAGGUUUCUCUGCACAACAAAACUCUUACAUACAAAUGAGCACUGUCCCCUUCAGGACAGUCCUCAGGGAACCCGUAUGCUUAUUCCGGUGUGUGAUUGGUCUGGAAGCAUUUUUGGAUGCCCUCUGGACAGAAAGUGCUUUUGGACACUGUUAGUGGUGACAAAGUGUGUCCUUUGAGGAUGGAUUAGAUUGUUGGAAAUGAUACAAUGUAUUCACAGUAUACAUCUGUUGUUUUUGUCUACCCAGAAGCCUCUGUCCAAACUUGUGGUUGGAGAGGCUGUAUUUCUUCUGUCGUUCAUUCUGUCUUUGAAGGCUCUCGAGGAGAAAAUAGCUUUUAAUAUCUCUUGGGAAAUGGCCACAUUUUCCCCUGGCAAUUGAACCCAUGGCUUUCUUGAAUGACUACUCCUCAACCAGGUCUAAGUUGUUUAGGUAGGCUGACUUGACCACCAGUUCCAGAGCACAGACAUGUGACGAGCCUGGCCAUAGUCAUUGAUUCAGGGAUGGACACAUGACUGAAACGGCAUGCUGGCAUUUAGUUCUGGUACUUGGAUUUUAACUGUUGGGAGGAGAAUUUCUCACUCUGCUAUGAUAUAAGCAUGAAGCUACUGGCUUCCACUUGCUGCUACAAAGAGCCUGCUUAAAAAUGGAGCCAACAUAAAAGGAAGCAGAUUUAAGACCUGAGCGAUGAGAGCGUGCACAUGUGUGUAUAUCCACAUAAUGAGACUAAGUCUUGAUUUCUGCACCUUGAUCCAGAUAUACCUGGAGCAGAAACUCUGCUGGGACUCUUUUGUAUCAUGAGCCAGUAACCUCCCUAUUUGCCUAGUAGGUUGAUUUGGGCUUCAAUCUUGCAACCAAGUGAGUCCUGACUAAACCAGCAGAAUGGAGCCAGGUAAGGUUCUUUCUCAAGAAGAGAAGAAGGAAGGUAUCAAGACGUUUAUGACAAAUUUCUACUCAACACUGAGCACCUGCUAAGUGCUGGGCCUAAUAGUCGAGAUGCUGCAAUGAACUAGUCCAUUCAGGAUGCUGAGGUGUUUCAGCCUAGAAGAGACUGCUUUUCUUCCUUUGCUCAUGCAGACUCAGGGGGCCAUUCUCAAGGAGGAGUUAGUGACAGGAAUGUCUUUGGCAAAGACAGCACUCUUGAGUGUGGUCAGAACAUGUUAUUUAUUUCCCAAGAUGAUUAGUUUUUGAAGAAGACAACAAAUAGUUGAGGCUAUGAAUUCUAUCUCUGUAAAAAUAGAGUUAUGUUUUCCUCCUGUAGUCAGAUCUCCUGUGGAACGUGAGUAAACAGGAAUUUCUAUGUAUGGAGCAAGGACAGUAUGGUUAGCACAUAAUACAUGUGUUUAUUUCAGAGCUGGGGAGGACUCCUGACCAGCGUGACACCUAACAUUGGAGUGAAGGGGCAGCAGACCUCUCCAGCCACGUGAAACGAGAUCCAGUUUGGCAUUCUGUCUAAGUUCACUGCACAGAGACGGGUUUGGCUCUGUGAUUCAUCAGAAAUAAGAAAAACAAACACUGUAAAUGGAGAACUUGAAAAAGAGGUGGGCACCAUCUCCCCACCCAAGAGAAUGGAUUUAAGAGGAAAUUUGUUUAUGGGAUGAAGUUUUAAAAGGCGACCUGGAAAAUUUAGCAAAGAUGUAAAUAAACAACUCUUCCUUGGAUUGCAUUAGGCUUCAGAAUAAAUAUAUUAACCAGCUUCAGUCAAAGUCUGCCUAGAAUCUGACCCUGACAAGACCCAGUGACUAGUGCUGCUCCGAACCUUCCCCACCAACAGCAGGCAAUUUUCUCUGUGGCAAAGCUACCUCGAAACAGGCAUCCAGGCUUCCCUCCCACGAAGUGAAGAUGAGAAAACUGAGUCUCAGAAUGGACAAGCUCACAGAUGGCAAGUGGUAGAGCAGACUUCACACAUAGCCAUCUGAGUGAGAUGGGAAGCUGAUCCUCCAGCCCUGAUCAAGCCUUCAAAUGACUGCACCUCCAGCUGACAGAUUACCAAAAGCAACCUCCUUCCAGAAGACCUUGAGCCAAAACCACUCAGCUAAGCUACUUCCAGAUCCCUGAUCCUCGGAAACUGUGCGAGACAAUAAAUGUUUAAAUGGCCACCCACUUUGGAAUAAAGAGGACAUAUAAUUUGCCUAAGGUCACAUAGCACUCUCUAAAUCAGUACAGUAUUUUAGACAAAGCUUCAACUUUGCACUUUUAUGGGUCAUUUUGAUAUAAGACUACAAGGAUAUCUCCUCCCAUGACAAACUUGACUUCAUUUACAACAAAAGGCCAAGCAAGAUACAGUACACUGUGGGGAUAAAUGGUACUCACUGAGGACAGGAAUAUGCUGACAUUAUCUCAAUUUCCUCCUCCCUCCUGUUGUUCUCCUUUGGAUGCUUUCCUGGACUAUAGGGAGAAGGAAAAUAGAGAAAGGCCAACUGCGACUAGGCCAGAGAUCAGAUGUUACCUUGUAGGAAGCAUCUCAUUCUAACCUUAAGUACUCUCUUGAUGAAGUACGGGGCCAAGAGAUUUUGGAAUUCUACCACACAAGGUUGCUCAGCAUUCCAAGAAGUAUUGAUAACUCUUCAAGAGCAAAAGUCAUUUAAAUUAAACUUCUCUGGCCGGGCAUGGUAGCUCAUAUCUGUAAACCCAGCACUUUGGGAGGCUGAGGCUGGAAGAUCACU
RNAcentral lists this long non-coding RNA (5225 nucleotides) under Homo sapiens (human). RNAcentral's name for it is "HSALNT0328457". Lineage: Eukaryota; Metazoa; Chordata; Mammalia; Primates; Hominidae. The record is from RNAcentral.